RNAcentral lists this long non-coding RNA (465 nucleotides) under Brachypodium distachyon (stiff brome). RNAcentral's name for it is "long non-coding RNA (BDIS_LNC004736)". Lineage: Eukaryota; Viridiplantae; Streptophyta; Magnoliopsida; Poales; Poaceae. The record is from RNAcentral.
CGCAUGCCACAACAGCUUACUUCACCCACGCCUCCCUCAUGCGUCGUUCAGGCGUCGUCGCUGAUUAAUUCGUUCGCCCAACUCGUUGAUGCUGCCGCAGAGGAGGAAGAAACAAUGCGCCGGGCCAUCCUCUUGUCUGAAGCUGAUCCGGCCGCACGAGUUGCGUACCUGGUUUCGUUCGAUGCGGGUUUGCAGGUGUCCAUUGCCAUUUCGCAGCGCCAAGAUCUUCGUCCAGGCAGAGAGGGGAAGGCUGCAGGUGAGCCACAGCAAACCACGUUGGCGAAAGCUCACUUCAAGUCCCCCCCCUUCGAACCAAAAUGUCAGCCGCCAGACUGAAAUCAUUGUCAUUUGCUCCGACGAAGAAGAUGAAGAAGACGACGACGAAGCCUUCGACUGGACAAGCGACGAAGAUAAUUUCCAGCUCUAGCAUAUUGUAUUCUGUGUGUUUAGGUUGGUCGUGAGCGU